Molecule: ribosomal RNA, 468 nt
Filed under: uncultured bacterium
Lineage: Bacteria
Description: partial 16S ribosomal RNA
Rfam family: Bacterial small subunit ribosomal RNA
Source: RNAcentral
GACGAACGCUGGCGGCGUGCUUAACACAUGCAAGUCGAACGGAAAGGCCCUGCUUUUGUGGGGUGCUCGAGUGGCGAACGGGUGAGUAACACGUGAGUAACCUGCCCUUGACUUUGGGAUAACUUCAGGAAACUGGGGCUAAUACCGGAUAGGAGCUCCUGCUGCACGGUGGGGGUUGGAAAGUUUCGGCGGUUGGGGAUGGACUCGCGGCUUAUCAGCUUGUUGGUGGGGUAGUGGCUUACCAAGGGUUUGACGGGUAGCCGGCCUGAGAGGGUGACCGGCCACAUUGGGACUGAGAUACGGCCCAGACUCCUACGGGAGGCAGCAGUGGGGAAUAUUGCACAAUGGGCGGAAGCCUGAUGCGGCAACGCCGCGUGCGGGAUGACGGCCUUCGGGUUGUAAACCGCUUUCGCCUGUGACGAAGCGUGAGUGACGGUAAUGGGUAAAGAAGCACCGGCUAACUACGUG